GUCAAAGGCAUAUCACCCUGCAGCCCAAGACCGGUUACUCACUGAAGCUAAGCAGGGCUGGCUGAGCCUGGUUAGUUCCUGGAUGGGAGAAAACUAGGGAACAACAGGUUGCUGUUGGAA
Molecule: ribosomal RNA, 120 nt
Filed under: Danio rerio (zebrafish)
Lineage: Eukaryota; Metazoa; Chordata; Actinopteri; Cypriniformes; Danionidae
Source: RNAcentral